UCCUUGGGGACUCCACGUAUCACUACGC
RNAcentral lists this non-coding RNA (28 nucleotides) under Bombyx mori (domestic silkworm). The record is from RNAcentral. Lineage: Eukaryota; Metazoa; Arthropoda; Insecta; Lepidoptera; Bombycidae.